GGCCAGUGUGGUGUAGUGGUUUGAGUAUUAGAUUAUGACUCUGUAGACCAGGAUUCAGAUCCCUGCUCGGCCA
Phrynosoma platyrhinos (Desert horned lizard) is the source of this 73-nucleotide non-coding RNA. Lineage: Eukaryota; Metazoa; Chordata; Lepidosauria; Squamata; Phrynosomatidae. The record is from the annotation of a GenBank genome assembly.